Molecule: RNA transcript, 7362 nt
Organism: Danaus plexippus (monarch butterfly)
Lineage: Eukaryota; Metazoa; Arthropoda; Insecta; Lepidoptera; Nymphalidae
Gene: Dad
Gene name: mothers against decapentaplegic homolog 6
Exons: 6
Source: RefSeq, a predicted model, not a curated record
AUCUUUCCCGUACCAAAGAAAAAGUGUUUUUUUUUAAAUUGUUUUUCGGAUACUAUGUAAUAUGUAUUAACAAUUUUAUUAUAGGACGAAUCAUAAACAAGACCGGUUAAAAAAGGUGUAGUCACGUAAUAGACAGAUAAGACGGGUGUAUAGAGGUAGUGAAAAAACAGACGAACAUCCGGACACGUGUGUCAUUACAGAGAUCGAUAGGAGGAAAUGUCGACAAAGGCAGAUGAACGGUCGAGACGCGGCGCUCGGGGAAAAAAUAAAUAAAGACGCUAGGAGACGGAGACGGGGAAAACGACGAGUGCAGGUGUCGCGCCGUGCAGCGAGGAGUGUGGAGUGUGGAGUCAGUAGAGAGGCCGCACGCGGCGAGUGAUGUCGUGUCGGCAGAGCGGCCGGAGCGCGCGGCGCGGGCGAGCGCUCGGCUCGUGACAUGUGAUGUUCCGGAGACGCGCCCUGCGGCGGCGGCUGGCGGCGGGCGGCGCGCCCUCCGUCUCCGACGACCAGCUGCGCGGCCUGGCGCGAGCCCUGGACGCGGGCCCCGCCGGCGCGGCUUGUGUGCCGGACGCCUCACCGGCGCUGCGGCUGGCGGCGGCCCGCGUCUUCCGCUACCCAGACCUCGGAGACCUGGCUGAGCUGCGCCGCCUGCCGCAUUGCUGCGACCAUCGGUGCUGCAACCCCUACCACUACAGUCGCCUCUGUGAGCCCGAAACCCCUCCUCCUCCUUACAGCCGGAUAGCGAUGGAUGACGUCAAACAUAAAGAACAAGACGAGAAGACAGAAGAUGCUCGGAGAACUGACCACGAGCGGCUUGCCACGGGCUCGCUGGCUACUGACGGAGAAGAGCGUCAGAGCUGGGAGAGCGAGUGGUGCCGGCUGGCGUACUGGGAGCUGACCCAGCGUGUCGGGAGGCAGCUGGGGGUGAGAGUGCGCGCGGUGGACGUGUUCGCCGGCGCCGGGGGCAGCUGCGGCCAGGGGAGACACGGCCUGUGUGUGGACGACCUGGGAGACAGGGGCACGCAGGUUGAACAGGUGCGGAAGACCCGGGCGAAGAUAGGUCUCGGCGUGACGCUAUCCUUGGAGGCGGACGGCGUCUGGUUGUACAACCGCAGUCAAGAACCAGUGUUCGUGUCGUCGCCGGCGCUGGACGCGGCCGCUGCCAAAGCCCUCCUGGUGUGGCGCGUCGCCCCGGGUCAUUGUCUGUGCGUUUUCGACCCCGGGGCUCCACCGCCCGCCCUGUCUCUGCCGCACGUCGGCCCCGUCGACAACACCUCCGUCAGGAUCUCCUUCGCCAAGGGCUGGGGUCCCAAAUAUUCCAGGCGUGACGUCACCGCCUGUCCCUGCUGGUUGGAAGUGCUGCUAGCGCCCGCCAGCUGACGCUAGGACGGAUAUAUCGUGAUGAGUGAACUAUAGUGAGGGUGAUGACUGUGAUCAGUGAGUCCGAGACCAGCAUCACUAACUGACCAAACAACUUUUAUAUGGAAAGUGAAAAUAUUUAUUUUAUCAAAAUGAAAUGAUUGUUGUAAAUAAUAUAUAUGUAUAGCUGCCUCGGCCUGUGCUCAGGGAAUGAUGUUUGCUCUGUAUAGACAUCACGCAUAUUAUUUUAUAUAUAUUGUCAUGAAAUCCAACUCAUUUGUAACGGAAGUCAUUCUCUGAAGCACAUUGGCCCAACAUUGGUCCAACACGGUCCAACAUGGAACGUAUGUCCAAAGUUUCGGAUGUGAUGUUAAAGCUAUGUGUACAAUGUAUGUAUAUUAUGUAUAGACCUCGGCUUUAAUCCGCGAGACUGUAUAUAACGUAUGUAAUGUACUGUUAAUAUUUAUAAUUAUGAACUAUGCCUUACCUUAGUCAGUAAGUAGAUGUAAGUUUUAAUUUUUUGUACAAAUACUGAGGCAUCGUAUAGAGGAGGGAUGAGAUGGGGUCGAGGGGGUCAGGCGCGGAGGCUGUGCGAGGAGCAUUUGUAUUUGUUGUAGAGUAAGAGUAUGAGAUCUGUGGGUGGAGUGAGUCCUGUUAGAUGGUAGUGACACUGUGCCUUGAGUUGUAUUCAAUGUUUAUAGGGUAAUGCAGUCAAUUCGCUGAUAUACAACGUAGGUUUAUAGUGAAGUACCUCGAAUAAAGUGCUUGGACAAAGUGAGUCGAGUCGACAAUAAGAUAUUCUAGUCUGUAGAACAAGCUUGCUUUGUCUGUGUGGUAGGCCGCUGACACAUGUGGUUUAAUAAUCAAUUGGCCUUACAAAGGAUAUAUAUAUAUUUAUAUCGAUGAAGCAAUAUUGUUAAUAUAUGAAACAGAAAUUAAACGAAAAUUUAUAUGUUAUGAUGAAAAAAUCUAUCAGAUUUGUAACGGUACAAACAACCGAGCAUAAUUAAUGUGGUAUAUAUUUAUUGAAGCUGUAGUCAUUACGUUAGACUGAUGUGGAGCCUGAAACUUAACACAUGGGGUGAGCUCAUGCAGAGGUUGGAGUUAUGAUGAAAUGUAACCCCUGGAUGAUGUCUCCUGAAGACGUUCUCUCAUGUAUAUAGUCCAUUGAGGAGGGGUCGCUGAUGAUGAAGAAUGACUGACAGACGGAUGAAGUUAGACACUGCCAGCUAUACAAACAGCAUUCCCUAGUUAGUGUGGACACAUCUCAGUACCGUGAAGCGUCUACUCCAGUCUCUUUAAUGUAGUUUUUGGUAGAAAGAAGCAAGCCACCCCACAAGCUGGAACAAAGUUAGUCUUUAAAUAUGGGACUUAGGAUCAAAUAUCACUCAUAAAUUGACAUUAAAAAUUAGAUGCAAGUUUUUACUCAAUUCUUUAUUUUAAACUGGAUAAUUAUUUUAAUUUAAUACUACAUACGGAGACUGCUAUCAUUACAUGCAGUAAAAUGUUCGAGGUGUGUUCAAAAAGUAAGGUGUUUGUAUUUUUAAGAAAAAAUAUUUAUUUAUCAAUAUUUAUGUUGUCCACUUCAAAGUUAUCCCCCUCAGAUACAAUACACUUAUGCCAACGGAUUUUCCAAUCCUCAAAGCACUUCUCAUAGGCAAUUUUCGGUAUAGCCUUAGCUCUUCCAGCGAUGCAGUCUUUAUCUCUUCAAUCUUUGCAAAUCUCCGUCCUUUCAUGGGGCUCUUUAUUUUUGGGAACUCUUGGGAAGUUAUGACUCCUUUAAGUAAAUCUGGAUCGACGUUGACGUCAUUCAACAGUUCUUGAGCGAUGCUCAUGCGACGGUUCUUUUGGUCAAAAUUUAGCAAUUUCGGAAUAAACUUCGUUGACACACGUCUCUUGCCCAAAACGUUAGAAAAAAAAUAUCAUGGCACGAGCCAAGCGAUAUACCAACAUCCUCAGCAACUUCUCUGAUAGUGAUUCGACGAUUUUCUAAAACAAUUUUCUUCACUACUUGAACGUUUUCAUCAGUAGUUGACGUGCUUGGGCGUCCAGAGCGAGGCUCGUCAUUGGCAUCUUCCCGGCCAUCUUGGAAAAGUUUGUAUCACCUACUUGUAAACAUUUUUUUUUACUCGGAACAGUUUCACCGUAUGUCUCUAUCAACAUUUCAAGUGUUUCGAAGCACUUUAUUUUUUUUUACACAAAAUUUGAUGCAAAUCCAUUGAUCCAUAUUUUUCGAUAGCAAGAAAUCGCCGAGCACACAAAACACUUAUAACCUUUGCGCCUCUCGCAACCAAACAAAAAAUGCUAUACACUUAAAACUGAAUACAGAUGUUCGGGAAGAGUGUACCAACAUAACAAAACAAAAAAAUUGAUAAUCCAAAAUACGUUGACUGCGAAAUUUGAAAAGUCACCUUACUUUUUGAACACACCUCAUAUAUGUGGGCGUCGGUGGCUUUGUACAAAUGGCAUUAAAAAAUUACCCAUUAGAGCAGCAGCUAUGGUCAGGAAAGGAGGUAGGCAACCGAAGUCUAUGAGUAUGGGGAAGACGAUGGUUCCAGAUAUGGUGCCCAUGCGACCCGACAUGAGGAACACGGCCAUCGCCAUCACCCUGGAAACGAGGAUUCAGGUGAUAUAGCAACAGAAUAUCUCUGAAGAAGUCCACAGAACUCACCUCAAGGAUGGGGGGAACAAGUCUACAGCAAUGCUGGAGAGGGAGGCGGAGCACAAGGCGGUGAGGGCUAGGGCCGUGGUCACUAUGGCGACCACUGGGAACGAACUGCUGCCGACGAGAGGCAGCAGGCCCACGAACACAGCGCCCAUCACCCCACACACACCCGCCACCAUCUUCUUGCCACAGCUGUAAUAGAUGACGUUCGCAUUAGUUCUAUAUAAUAUACAUUACCUAACCUAAUCCUUUUCUAGUCAUUAAGGCACGCUAUUUAUACUAAAAACAUCAAUUCCGAUAUAAACCAUAUAGAAAGUGAGACAAUUCUUGAGUAAGACUAAAAGUGAUGGUAAUUAGUAAAUAAAUAGAAACUGGUUUUUGGCUUGUCAUACAUUGGAUAAGCGAGAAAGAGCUGCUGGGUAGUCUGCGAUAUGCUCAGGUAUUAAAAAUAGGUAUUAAGGCCAGCAGCGUGUGAUCACAGUGGACGGUUGAAGCCUUACAUCCGGUUCCACAAUUCAUAGAUUUCGAUCGUAAAAACAGAUAUAUAUGGGGAUUAAUCCGCCGGGAUAUUAAAAUUAAAGAAUAUCCUAAUUUUAAUAGAGAAGAUGGCUGGCAAUUAUAAGUCACUUGGGUAUCUCUUCACUUAAAAUAAAUUCCUUGUCUGUGACCAGACCGAAGGACAUAGUUAAGACAUUCUGCGUCCAGCCAGAGCAAUAGAACCCAAGAAAAAAAAGAAAUCUUUGGCAGUAGAUGACAAAUAACAAGACUGACUGACGGACACAUUGAUCCCGUCUGCCCGUGAUCACGGCUGCUGCAAUGGAACCGAAUCAUCGGGAUUUUGUGGUUCUAAAAUAAUUAAAAACGCGUAGAAUAUCCGAAAAACAAGAAUCAUUUAAACGGAAUGAGAAAAUGAGGACUCAUGUAUUUAUAAUAAUUUGGAGCUAUAUAAACUGAACGUGCUCGAUCAAAAGGCAUUCACCGUGUUUGUGGUUCACCCAGCAUGCUUUAAAAAACUUGAAGUACUUGUGCCCUAUAUUUCUUAUGUUUGAAAGGAUCUUUUGGAUUCUGAACUUUUAAAUCGAAACAGAAAGUUAUUUACUUCUAACACAUGUUAGGCCACAUAGUCUCUCCAGUAGUCUGGAUAUAAUAAGAUAUUUCAUCUAUGGAUAUUUUAAACCGAAUUUAGAUCGAAUGAAGACAGAAUUUAGUAAAUUUUUUUGUUAGCAUUUGGGUAAUGUCUCUGGCGGUUUAGAUUCCCAAAUCAGUCAAACAGAUGGCGUUGCAGUCUGUAUCUAGGUUAUUUAAAUGAAAAGGCUGCAACGUAGGUUACUAUACGUAAUGUUAUAAAUCACUGACGUUCCUGCGGUACGAUGUACUUACCGAUUGAUGAGCAUGCCUCCUAUUCCGUAAGUGAGCACAGAUCCAGCUCCCACCACCGCGUUCUGCAGGUAGGUGAGCAUGUCCGUCUCUAUGGGCGUGCAGUCUGUGACCUCGUCCGCGAGCGGCUGCGGGGCGAUGGCGGAGCAGAGGCUGGCGUUACCCUCGGAGCCUAUCAUGGCUGCCAGUUGCGGGUACCACAGACGAACAGUGUUGGCUCUGGACCAAUGUUACUUUAAUGAAUAUAUUACAUUGGGUUCGCAUCACAUUUCGUUCUUUGAAAUCGCAACAUAAACGUAUAAAUCAGUCAAUGUAAUUCAUAACUUAUUUAAUAUCACUUACUUGUCAUUGGCGUGUUGUUAUAUUAAAGUGCCUACUAAGGAGUAAGGACACAAUCCGAAUAAGGGCUUUUACCAAGAAAACGGAGUUAUUCUACCUUCCUAUAAAAAGCACGAAGAUUUUGGUAUGGAUUGAUCAUAUAUACAUUUUUGUGAUUCUUUCACCAAAAAUACCUGAAUGGAUUGUAAUGAUAUAGUAAAAUAGACUGUAGCGUUAAUUUAUUCCGAAAUCUACAGAAGAUUCGGUGGAAACGCCGCCUAAUGGUCGAUAGAUGGCGUUGGCAUUUGUUUGCUAUGUAUAAUUUUACAAGUACAAUAUGUUCGUCUGUAAACUCAGAUCCCAAGUUAAACGGGCAAAAGCUAGCUAUGAAUUUGUAAAAAUUUUUUAGAUUUUGAAAGGUGUUUCAUAAAACGAUUAUAAAAUAAAAUAAAAUACGGUUGUCUAAGUCUUAAAAUAUUCAAGAUCAAAGGUCACAAGAACGUUUUAUUAUUGCGAAUAUGUAUCCAGCCUAUGAGCAACUGUUUGGCUUCGCUUAUCUAUUGAAAAUAAAAUGCUACUAUAACAAAACGUUUGGUAAACAAAAGCCGUUUUAUGUAUUUAUAUGAAAUUACUAAUAAUUUAUUAAAGAAAAAUACAAAUGUUUUGGAUAAAUGUUUUGGGAACUUAAUCCUUCCUUCGUCUUAAAUGUCUAUAAUUAUAAUGUCGUAGUGUGUGUAUGUUGGGUGUCAGUUCUCACCCGAACAUGCAGCACACGUGUGCGACGCAUAUCAGCAGCAACCAAGCGGCAUGCGGUCGACGAAACAACGGCGAGAGCUGGGCCACGCCGCCCUGGAGCGCCUCCAGCCCGCGGCCACGUUGUGGAUGUUUCUCUUGCGCUAGGCGAGUUAUCUACAUAGAUUGACCUCAUCAAAUUAGAGCUUUUUUAAUCAUAGUUUUUAUUAAAUGACCUGACAAAAAUAACUUUUUUUCCGUUACACUUCCAUUGUGAUAUCCGAAGCUAUAAAGAAAUAAAACACCGUGUAGAUAUGAAAAUGAAAUCCGUUCAUCAUUUGGUUGGACCAGAGUAUUUGGAGGUAGCUUCAUAUCAGUCUUAUAAUAUGCGUUUUAGAGCGGUAUGAGAUAUAAUAGUUAGCAUAUCUUCCUCACCGGGUAGGUCUCGGGUGGCCUGCCAGUGUUCCAGGAGUAUAUUUUUUUCAAUAUUACUAAAGCUUCAUCGUUGCGACCUCUCGACAUGAGGAACUUGGGGCUCUCUGGCAAGCAGACGGCUGCCAGUCCCGUCAGUAAUGGCACCAUCGCCGUGGCCAACAGGAAUAUGUUCCACGAAUGGAGGACUAUACAAUGACAAUAAGUUUUAACAACUUUAAAACAAUUCAUAAGUUAAAAUGUAUUUAUUGCAAUAAUGUUGAGCUGAUUUAGAACUUAAUCAAAUACCCAUCCUACCCAUUCCACCUCCGAAAAGUGUGAAUUCCCAGUCUUGGGUGAUAAUAGCCCACGCCAGUAGCGGGAGGGUGGUGUUGGCCAGGGUGAAGAAGAAACUGGAGAGGAGAAUGACACGAGCUCGGAUGUCAGCUCGGUGGAGCUCAGCGAGGUAAGAGAUUAGCACUGCGAAGGGACCGUUGAAU